This is a long non-coding RNA of Cebus imitator (Panamanian white-faced capuchin), 1781 nucleotides long. RefSeq lists it as uncharacterized. The record is from RefSeq and is a predicted model, not a curated record. Lineage: Eukaryota; Metazoa; Chordata; Mammalia; Primates; Cebidae. The transcript is spliced from 3 exons.
UCAAGUGCACACAUAAUGUUCUCUUUGUUAAGCUGGGUGGUGAGUAUACUGUAUCUGUAUACCUCUUUAUAGAUUUGAAAUAGUUUAUAAUCAACAAUUUUAAAGAAACAAACCAGCACAUUGCCAAGACAAAAACAAAAAUAGAACAAAAUUAAAAAACCUCAACCAAAAACCAAAAAAGAGUUGAUAGGCUUGAAUAAGAUACCAAGAAGGGUACAAAGUAGGAAAAUAUGUAUCUACCAGCCUAGCCUUGUAUAUUUAUCUCAUUAGUAAAUACUGGAGUCACUUAAUGUCUCUGCCCUGACUCCAUCUGCUCCACUCAUGGAAGCUAGCCCACCAGCCCAGCCAAAUUAGCCCACUUGCCUAGCAGUCCCUGGAAAGAACAGAAAGCUCACUACCCAAAACAAUGGUCGCUGGCCAGAUACAAAACUUCGGGCUGCCAUAGUGAAUGCUCACAGCAUAUGAAUGCUCAGACUGCUUCACAGAAUCAAUCCAAUCAUUCUCCUUUGGUCUCAGAAAGGGUCCUGGCAACCAGUACUCCUAAAAUGAUUAAAGAUUUCCUAGGCUAUUUAAAAAUGUUUCAAGUGAACAAAAUUAAGGUGUGGAAAUCCCAGGCUUCAGGUAUGGGGACAAGAGAAAGGACGAAGAGAAUUUUCAGAGUUGUCAGUUGCCUCUGAAAUGACAACAUACUGUAAUGAGCAUCUCUCUUCCUUGUGGAGGGCAUCCAAAUAUCUGGACAAUCUGGUUUGGGAAUGACAUUCAGGGUGAGUACGCUCUGCCCUCCACUCAGUGCAUCGUGGGGAGGCUACCGAUUCCCAGUCCUCUUACCACCCACACAGCUUCACUGCAGUGAAGUUAGCUGAUGGAACUCCUGAUCACUUUUGAAUUAUGCAAAGAAUCUAAAGUUCUUGAGCCAAUCCUUGUUCAGAGUAAAGGUUUACAAGGAGACAGGUAGUUACCACUAAUUGAGCAAUGGCCACUUCUCAGACGCUGGAGUCUAUGCUUCACCCAUAUCAUUGAGUAUCCUCACAAUACUGCCAAGUGGACAUAAUAAUUUAUAUUCAUUUCAUGAAGAAGUUUAAGAUCAAUUACCUUAAGUAACUGGUCUACAGUCACACAGAAGGCAGGCUUUGUUAUAAAAAACAGGUAUAAAGUGCCCUAUCACAUGUAGUCUUCCCUGGCCUGGAGAGAUUCAUUAGUUAUUUGUGAAAAUUAGUUACAGGCCCAAAACCCAAAAACUAUGUUAAUUUGAUGCUAGAAUACUAAAUAGUAAAUUGCUAGAAUAGCACAAGUGUGGUAACCUAGUAUUUAUAGAGGCUCCAAGGCAGUUCUAACAUACUCAUCUAUCCAGGGCAAAUAAUGCCUGCAGUCCUUAUCAGACAGAUGAAGAUUAUAAUAUCUAUUUACUUCAAAGGGAGCUGAAUAUCACAUAAGAUCAUAGCUGUCAAAGUUCUUUAUGAAGGAAGAGGAUAGAGACUCAUUUUAGAGCAUGGUGGGGGACAGUUUGAUAGCAGUGGAAGACCCUAGGCAUCAGAGCUACCUGAGAUGCUGUUUAACAGCCGAUGAGGGAAGCUUGACUGGGAAUCCACAUUUAUCAUAACAAGCCCCCAAAUGAUUCUCUGGGACACUGAAAUAACAGGUUACAGCAGUGCUUCUCAAAUGUUAACAUACACAUGGGGAUCUUGUUAAAAUACAGAUUUGAAUUCAGUGGGUCUGGAAGAAAGGAGCAGGCAGGCUAAGAUUUUGCAUUUCUAAUAGCCUCCCAGGGGAGGCCACAUGCU